GCUGUCGUCAGCUCGUGUUGUGAAAUGUUGGGUUAAGUCCCGCAACGAGCGCAACCCUUAUCCUUUGUUGCCAGCGGUUAGGCCGGGAACUCAAAGGAGACUGCCAGUGAUAAACUGGAGGAAGGUGGGGAUGACGUCAAGUCAUCAUGGCCCUUACGACCAGGGCUACACACGUGCUACAAUGGCGCAUACAAAGAGAAGCGACCUCGCGAGAGCAAGCGGACCUCAUAAAGUGCGUCGUAGUCCGGAUUGGAGUCUGCAACUCGACUCCAUGAAGUCGGAAUCGCUAGUAAUCGUGGAUCAGAAUGCCACGGUGAAUACGUUCCCGGGCCUUGUACACACCGCCCGUCACACCAUGGGAGUGGGUUGCAAAAGAAGUAGGUAGCUUAACCUUCGGGAGGGCGCUUACCACUUUGUGAUUCAUGACUGGGGUGAAGUCGUAACAAGGUAACCGUAGGGGAACCUGCGGUUGGA
RNAcentral lists this ribosomal RNA (474 nucleotides) under Salmonella enterica. Its description in RNAcentral is "bacterial SSU rRNA". It matches the Rfam family "Bacterial small subunit ribosomal RNA", at positions 1048 to 1522 of the family's 1533-position model. The record is from RNAcentral. Lineage: Bacteria; Pseudomonadati; Pseudomonadota; Gammaproteobacteria; Enterobacterales; Enterobacteriaceae. RNAcentral also lists the same sequence under 1 other name.